This 757-nucleotide ribosomal RNA is filed under the name uncultured bacterium. Its description in RNAcentral is "bacterial SSU rRNA". It matches the Rfam family "Bacterial small subunit ribosomal RNA", at positions 735 to 1493 of the family's 1533-position model. The record is from RNAcentral.
UGACACUGACGCUCAUGCACGAAAGCGUGGGGAGCAAACAGGUAUUAGAUACCCUGGUAGUCCACGCCCUAAACGAUGUCAACUAGCUGUUGGGGCCUUCGGGCCUUAGUAGCGCAGCUAACGCGUGAAGUUGACCGCCUGGGAAGUACGGUCGCAAGAUUAAAACUCAAAGGAAUUGACGGGGACCCGCACAAGCGGUGGAUGAUGUGGAUUAAUUCGAUGCAACGCGAAAAACCUUACCUACCCUUGACAUGUCUGGAAUCCCGAAGAGAUUUGGGAGUGCUCGCAAGAGAACUGGAACACAGGUGCUGCAUGGCUGUCGUCAGCUCGUGUCGUGAGAUGUUGGGUUAAGUCCCGCAACGAGCGCAACCCUUGUCAUUAGUUGCUACGAAAGGGCACUCUAAUGAGACUGCCGGUGACAAACCGGAGGAAGGUGGGGAUGACGUCAAGUCCUCAUGGCCCUUAUGGGUAGGGCUUCACACGUCAUACAAUGGUCGGGACAGAGGGUUGCCAACCCGCGAGGGGGAGCUAAUCUCACAAACCCGAUCGUAGUCCGGAUUGCAGUCUGCAACUCGACUGCAUGAAGUCGGAAUCGCUAGUAAUCGCGGAUCAGAAUGUCUCGGUGAAUACGUUCCCGGGUCUUGUACACACCGCCCGUCACACCAUGGGAGUGGGUUUCACCAGAAGUAGUUAGCCUAAACCGCAAGGGGGGGCGAUUACCACGGUGGGAUUCAUGACUGGGGGUGAAGUCGUAACA